This 253-nucleotide ribosomal RNA is filed under the name uncultured bacterium. RNAcentral describes it as "partial 16S ribosomal RNA". It matches the Rfam family "Bacterial small subunit ribosomal RNA", at positions 524 to 776 of the family's 1533-position model. The record is from RNAcentral.
UACAGGGGGGGCAAGCGUUGUUCGGAAUUACUGGGCGUAAAGUGCUCGUAGGUGGCCAACUAAGUCAGACGUGAAAUCCCUCAGCUUAACUGGGGAACUGCGUCUGAUACUGGAUGGCUUGAGUUUGGGAGAGGGAUGCGGAAUUCCAGGUGUAGCGGUGAAAUGCGUAGAUAUCUGGAGGAACACCGGUGGCGAAGGCGGCAUCCUGGACCAACACUGACACUGAGGAGCGAAAGCCAGGGGAGCAAACGGG